RNAcentral lists this ribosomal RNA (510 nucleotides) under Triticum aestivum (bread wheat). RNAcentral describes it as "partial small subunit ribosomal RNA". Lineage: Eukaryota; Viridiplantae; Streptophyta; Magnoliopsida; Poales; Poaceae. The record is from RNAcentral.
AUGGAUUCUGUGGAUCAAGAUCGUCUCGAAGAUGAGGCUAUGAUUGAAACGAGAAGAAGGUGGCGGUGGAGCCAGGAACAAAUUGACGAGUUUCUGAGGGAAAGGACAAGAGAUCGAGAAGAACUGCGCCAGGAACUGGCUGCAGAAUUGCGUGAGAGGGAAAGCAUGGAAUAUGAAAGAAGACAUAGGGACCGGGCCUCCGGGCCAGCCAUGUUAGAUCUGUUUAUUCCGUCAGUCGGCGAGACAAGGGAACAAACCUGCGGGGUGUGCCUUGAGGAUUUCCUGGAAGGCGGAAAGAAGCUGAGGAGGAUGCCCUGCUACCACUCCUUCCAUCAGCGCUGCAUCUUCGACUGGCUUCGCUUUAACCGUCGCUGCCCAGUGUGCCGCUUUGCGAUCACCUCCGUCGAGGAGCAACGUGCCCUUGACCGGGCAAAAGCCGAGGCACCGGCGACAUGUGGUGAUAGGUCAGAGCCAGCCAAGAGGCCGAGACAGAACCCGGCUACUGAUUGA